Molecule: long non-coding RNA, 1605 nt
Filed under: Homo sapiens (human)
Lineage: Eukaryota; Metazoa; Chordata; Mammalia; Primates; Hominidae
Description: long non-coding RNA NONHSAT053202.2
Source: RNAcentral
CUGAAUGUGCUGUUUGCCUCGGACAUGAAACAUCUCACAGACUGCCUGGAAGAAGGUGGAGCAGACUGGGGUUAAUGGUCAGCAGCAGCAGCAUCCCCACCACUGGGGCUAUCCCUUUUUAGGCCUUUACCAUGGGCCAAACACUGAGCCGUGGGCUUCGUGUAACUUCUAAGCACGCUUACCUGAUAGAGUGCCAGCAAAGACUCAAAGAGGUGCCUGGGCUUGGCACAUAGUAGCUAUUGCUACUAUUAUGAAUGUUGUUUUGUCUUUGUUUUUGUUUUGAGACAGGGCCUCACUCUGUUGCCCAGGUUGGAGUACAGCAGUGCCAUCAUAGCUCACUGAAGCCUCAACCUCCCUGGGUUUGAGCAAUCCUCCCACCUCAGCCUCCCAAGUAGCUGAGACUACAGGUGUGCGCCACCAAGCCCAGCCAAUUUUUUGUAUUUUCAGUAGAGACUGGUUUUGCCAAGUCGCCCAGGCUGGUUUCGAACUCUGGGGUUCAAGCAAUCUGCCCACCUCAGCCUCCCAAAGUGCUGGCAUUACAGGCGUGUGCCACUGCGCCCAGCCAUUAUGAAUGUCAAUAUUGACAUGAUCUUGUAUCCUUAUGCCCACACUGGGAGAGGUCUGAUUGUCCCCAUGUUCCUGGUGUGGAACCACAUGGAAGAGGCCUAUGUUAUCCCAACAGUGCAGAAGCACAGCCUGAGUCUCUUCUUUGGCUGAGCCAAGGGUGUGCUGGAGAGGCCUGACAGAAGAAGGAGCGGCCCUUGUGACCAGUGCCCUUUUGGUUCACAAGGAACUUCUCCUCUUGUUGAAGUGACUUGGCUGAGCUUGCUACUUCUGCUUUGAGAGUCAAAUAUCAGGAUCAAGACUUUAAUUAUCCCCAAUUUACAGAUGAUGAAACCAUAUUGGGCAGGAAAGAAAGUCACCCCAGGAGAGCAAGUUGGACCUGAGCACUGGCUGAGGACAAAGGGGAAUGAUAAUUUGGGAUGUAACUUGUUAAGGGGUCUCACAAGUGUUCUUGUGAUCCAGGUGUCGAGAGGAUACAGCAGAAAGGUUGCCAGGGAGAUGAGGGUAGGGUGCACCACAAGAGUGGGAGAAAUUAAAGAGAACACGCAACAAAGCCUUGGGACACUGGGAGGGGGAUGGACCACCCAGUUUUGUGCUAUGGGAGAAGACAGCAAGAAAAGGAAUCUGUGUUAAAUCCCGACAGCCUGCAUGAGAAGCAAAUGCCCUUCAUUUUCUUCAUCAGCGGCGAGACUGGCAUCCCUGCAGCUUUGGGAGACCAUGCUAGUGUAGAUGCCAGCUCACGCCAGCGGGCCUGACUGGGAGACCUUGGGCUGGGGUUCUGGUCUGGGGCUCCUAGGCCUGAUGGGAGGAGAGUUCAGCCCCAGGUUUCCUGUACUUCAGCUCAUAUCCACACAAUGGUCAUUAUUGAAAUGAGAGACUCAAAAGAAGAUGGAACGUGAACUUUUUUGUUGUCCCAUGUGGACACCUGUGUUCGGUUUCCAGUUCUACCUCUUGCUGUCUGUGUGUUCUUAAGUAACUCACUUAAACCUUUCUGAGUCUCAUUUUCUUCAUUUAUAAAAUAAAAGACGUAACAUUUAUGUC